Molecule: ribosomal RNA, 253 nt
Filed under: uncultured bacterium
Lineage: Bacteria
Description: partial 16S ribosomal RNA
Rfam family: Bacterial small subunit ribosomal RNA
Source: RNAcentral
UACGUAGGGUGCGAGCGUUAAUCGGAAUUACUGGGCGUAAAGCGUGCGCAGGCGGUUGGGUAAGUACGGUGUGAAAUCCCCGGGCUCAACCUGGGAACUGCAUUUGUGACUGCACAGCUGGAGUGCGGCAGAGGGGGAUGGAAUUCCGCGUGUAGCAGUGAAAUGCGUAGAUAUGCGGAGGAACACCGAUGGCGAAGGCAAUCCCCUGGGCCUGCACUGACGCUCAUGCACGAAAGCGUGGGGAGCAAACAGG